This is a non-coding RNA of Gorilla gorilla gorilla (western lowland gorilla), 288 nucleotides long. It matches the Rfam family "7SK RNA". From Rfam's summary of the family: 7SK was discovered as an abundant small nuclear RNA in the mid-70s but a possible function has only recently been suggested. The record is from Rfam. Lineage: Eukaryota; Metazoa; Chordata; Mammalia; Primates; Hominidae.
GGAUCUGAGAGAAAACUAGCUGUGACAUCUGUCAACGCAUUGAUUUCCAGGGUUGAUGCAGAUGGUCUGAGCUGAUCUCCGGUCUCUUUUACCACACCAUUUGUGUCCCUUCCAGACUUACAUGCUCAUUCAAAGUGAAUGACCUUCUGAAAGAGGAUCAGUCAUGAAGGGCAUUUAAAAGAUAUAUUCCCUUUCUGUAACUUCUAGACUUGUUCAUAAUUUAUUCAAAGAUAUAAAUCUGUAGAACAAAAUAGACAACCUUUGGUUGGGGUGAAUCUUUUAUUGAGA